GAUGAACGCUGGCGGCGUGCCUAAUACAUGCAAGUCGAGCGAACAGAUGAGGAGCUUGCUCCUCUGACGUUAGCGGCGGACGGGUGAGUAACACGUGGAUAACCUACCUAUAAGACUGGGAUAACUUCGGGAAACCGGAGCUAAUACCGGAUAAUAUAUUGAACCGCAUGGUUCAAUAGUGAAAGACGGUUUUGCUGUCACUUAUAGAUGGAUCCGCGCCGCAUUAGCUAGUUGGUAAGGUAACGGCUUACCAAGGCAACGAUGCGUAGCCGACCUGAGAGGGUGAUCGCCACACUGGAACUGAGACACGGUCCAGACUCCUACGGGAGGCAGCAGUAGGGAAUCUUCCGCAAUGGGCGAAAGCCUGACGGAGCAACGCCGCGUGAGUGAUGAAGGUCUUCGGAUCGUAAAACUCUGUUAUUAGGGAAGAACAAAUGUGUAAGUAACUAUGCACGUCUUGACGGUACCUAAUCAGAAAGCCACGGCUAACUACGUG
This 496-nucleotide ribosomal RNA is filed under the name uncultured bacterium. RNAcentral's name for it is "partial 16S ribosomal RNA". It matches the Rfam family "Bacterial small subunit ribosomal RNA", at positions 28 to 507 of the family's 1533-position model. The record is from RNAcentral.